This 350-nucleotide ribosomal RNA is filed under the name Escherichia coli. RNAcentral's name for it is "bacterial LSU rRNA". It matches the Rfam family "Bacterial large subunit ribosomal RNA", at positions 1 to 378 of the family's 2925-position model. The record is from RNAcentral. Lineage: Bacteria; Pseudomonadati; Pseudomonadota; Gammaproteobacteria; Enterobacterales; Enterobacteriaceae.
GGGUUGUGAGGUUAAGCGACUAAGCGUACACGGUGGAUGCCCUGGCAGUCAGAGGCGAUGAAGGACGUGCUAAUCUGCGAUAAGCGUCGGUAAGGUGAUAUGAACCGUUAUAACCGGCGAUUUCCGAAUGGGGAAACCCAGUGUGAUUCGUCACACUAUCAUUAACUGAAUCCAUAGGUUAAUGAGGCGAACCGGGGGAACUGAAACAUCUAAGUACCCCGAGGAAAAGAAAUCAACCGAGAUUCCCCCAGUAGCGGCGAGCGAACGGGGAGCAGCCCAGAGCCUGAAUCAGUGUGUGUGUUAGUGGAAGCGUCUGGAAAGGCGCGCGAUACAGGGUGACAGCCCCGUAC